GAUCAAAUCAAGCGCGAAAAGGGCGUUUGGUGGAUGCCUUGGCAGUAAGAGGCGAUGAAGGACGUGAUACCCUGCGUUAAGCCAUGGGGAGCCGGGAAUAGGCUUUGAUCCAUGGAUAUCCGAAUGGGGAAACCCACCUGACAUUCUGCUGUUGUUACCUUUGCGGGUAUCAACAGUGGGGUGAAACAGGUACUUAUCCCUGAAUACAUAGGGGAAUAAGGGCAAACCCGGGGAACUGAAACAUCUAAGUACCCGGAGGAAAGGAAAUCAAGAGAGACUCCGUUAGUAGUGGCGAGCGAACGCGGACCAGCCGAUCCUUGAUGCGUGACUGGAAUGGUCUGGAAAGGCCAGCAACAUGGGUGACAGCCCCGUACAGGAAGCAAUUCAAGGACAUAUCAAGUAGGGCGGGACACGNNNNNNNNNCGAUAGCGAACCAGUACCGUGAGGGAAAGGUGAAAAGCACCCCGACGAGGGGAGUGAAACAGUACCUGAAACCGGACGCCUACAAGCAGUCGGAGGGACAUCAGUCCUGACGGCGUACCUUUUGUAUAAUGGGUCAACGACUUGGUCUCAGUAGCAAGCUUAAGCCGCUAGGUGUAGGCGCAGGGAAACCGAGUCUUAAAUGGGCGAAUGAGUUACUGGGAUCAGACCCGAAACCAAGUGAUCUAGCCAUGAGCAGGAUGAAGGCAGGGUAACACCUGCUGGAGGUCCGAACCAACACCCGUUGAAAAGGGUCUGGAUGACUUGUGGCUAGGGGUGAAAGGCUAAUCAAACUUGGAGAUAGCUGGUUCUCCGCGAAAGCUAUUUAGGUAGCGCCUCGGACGAAUACCAUCGGGGGUAGAGCACUGCAUGGGUAAUGGGGGCCCACAGCCUUACUGAACCUAAGCAAACUCCGAAUACCGAUGAGUACUAUCCGGGAGACACACAUCGGGUGCUAACGUCCGGUGUGAAGAGGGAAACAACCCUGACCUGCAGCUAAGGCCCCUAAUUCGUGGUUAAGUGGGAAAGCAUGUGGGACGGCCAAAACAACCAGGAGGUUGGCUUAGAAGCAGCCAUCCUUUAAAGAUAGCGUAACAGCUCACUGGUCUAGAUAAGCUGUCCUGCGGCGAAGAUGUAACGGGGCUCAAACCACGAGCCGAAGCUCGGGAUGUGCAGCAAUGCACGUGGUAGCGGAGCGUUCUGUGAUAUAGCUUCACGCCUUUUGAUUUACGUUGCGGCGCACAUCUCGUGCGCCUUGGCGUUGAUCCGAAGGCAGGAAGCUUUCUGUGAAGCCGGGCUGUAAGGCAUCCGGUGGAGAGAUCAGAAGCGAGAAUGUUGACAUGAGUAGCGACAAACAGGGUGAGAGACCCUGUCGCCGAAAGUCCAAGGGUUCCUGCUUAAAGCUAAUCUGAGCAGGGUAAGCCGGCCCCUAAGGCGAGGCAGAAAUGCGUAGUCGAUGGGAACCACGUUAAUAUUCGUGGGCCAGAAGGAAGUGACGGAUCUCGAAGAUUGUCUGCCCUUAUCGGAUUGGGUGGGCAGUUCAGAGGUUCCAGGAAACAGCCCUUCAUCAGACCGUACCCUAAACCGACACAGGUGGACUGGUAGAGAAUACCAAGGCGCUUGAGAGAACCACAUCAAAGGAACUCGGCAAAUUACCUCCGUAAGUUCGCGAUAAGGAGGCCCCAUGUCUGGGCAACCAGGGGUGGGGGGCACAAACCAGGGGGUGGCGACUGUUUACUUAAAACACAGGGCUCUGCGAAGUCGCAAGACGACGUAUAGGGUCUGACGCCUGCCCGGUGCUGGAAGAUUAAAAGGAGGGGUGCAAGCUCUGAAUUGAAGUCCCAGUAAACGGCGGCCGUAACUAUAACGGUCCUAAGGUAGCGAAAUUCCUUGUCGGGUAAGUUCCGACCUGCACGAAUGGCGUAACGAUCUCCCCGCUGUCUCUGAUGUGGACUCAGCGAAAUUGAACUGUGUGUCAAGAUGCACACUUCCCGCGGUUAGACGGAAAGACCCCAUGCACCUUUACUCCAGCUUUGCACUGGUAUCAGGAUUGUGAUGUGCAGGAUAGGUGGUAGGCAUUGAAUUGGGGGCGCUAGCCCUCAAGGAGCCUCCCUUGAGAUACCACCCUUCGCCGUUCUGAUAUCUAACCGCGGCCCGUUAUCCGGGUCCGGGACCCUGCAUGGUGGGGAGUUUGACUGGGGCGGUCGCCUCCCAAAUCGUAACGGAGGCGCGCGAAGGUAGGCUCAGACCGGUCGGAAAUCGGUCGCUGAGUGCAAUGGCAUAAGCCUGCCUGACUGCGAGACUGACAAGUCGAGCAGAGACGAAAGUCGGUCAUAGUGAUCNNNNNNNNNUCCCAAGGGUAUGGCUGUUCGCCAUUUAAAGAGGUACGUGAGCUGGGUUUAGAACGUCGUGAGACAGUUCGGUCCCUAUCUGCCGUGGGUGUAGGAGACUUGAGAAGAGUUGCCCCUAGUACGAGAGGACCGGGGUGAACGAACCACUGGUGGACCAGUUAUCGUGCCAACGGUAGUGCUGGGUAGCUAUGUUCGGACAGGAUAACCGCUGAAGGCAUCUAAGCGGGAAGCCCCCUUCAAAACAAGGUCUCCCUGAGGGCCGUGGCAGACCACCACGUCGAUAGGCCAGAGGUGUAAGAGCGGUAACGCUUUCAGCUGACUGGUACUAAUUGCCCGAUAGGCUUGAUUUGAUCCGG
This 2686-nucleotide ribosomal RNA is filed under the name Gallionellales bacterium CG17_big_fil_post_rev_8_21_14_2_50_54_146. Its description in RNAcentral is "bacterial LSU rRNA". It matches the Rfam family "Bacterial large subunit ribosomal RNA". Lineage: Bacteria; Pseudomonadati; Pseudomonadota; Betaproteobacteria; Nitrosomonadales. The record is from RNAcentral.